UGGUCAAGACAAUGAACUCGACCAGGAAGACAAUCCGAAUCUUGACAAUGAUCUCGAUGAUGAAGACAAUCCUGUAAAGAAAACAAUACUUCCUAACCUUGAUGCACUUAUUGCGGCUUGCAUUGUCUUUUCAUGUUUAAUAAGGUGGCAAGGAGGAAAUUGGUGAAUUGUCCUGGAGGAAGGGAGCUCAGCAUUUUCUAGUUACUAUCAAAAUAUAUCAAGGAUCCUUCAUCAGCUAGUAAGUUUGUUGAUAUCAUGCUCCUUUUGCUAACAAAAGGAGUUCAAGAUUGUGGUUUGUAUUCCAUGAAUAUUGAUCUAGACCUCUAAUGUGUGCUUUUUGGCAUUUUCGAGUUUUGGUUAUUUUGCCAUUAGGAGCUUUUUAUCAUGUGUUGCAGAUGCAUGUGUGGAAGUUUUGAAGGUAAUUCAACAAAUGAUAGAAAAAUUAGGAAGUGAAGUACAACAAAAUUGUGAACGCAAUUUCUCCGCUUCUUACUUCCAUUAGUCUGGAUGUAAGGAUGUCUGUUUGUGAUCUUCUUGAUGCUCUUGCUGAAACUGAUUCUUCUCUGGUUACUGUGGCGGAGCUCAUUCGUGCGCUGAAUUCAACUGCUGCUAUAGGGAUGGGUGGUCUUGACUGUGACAGUAUUAUUAAUGCUUAUGAAAGAUCAACUAAGACUUCUUUUACACUGUUAGAGAGAAGCAUGCCUUGUUCCUUUUGUCUCAUGUUGUCCACGAGUUGUCAUCAGAAGAAUUGGUUUUGAGGCAAAGCAGAUCUAAGUUAGUGCUUUCAGUUGUUGAAUUCUCUGCUAAAAUUCUUGAUCUAGAAAUGAAAUCUGAUGAUCAAACUUGGUAUGAAUGGUGCAUUAAACGAACAAUUAACAAGUUCCUUCUUAAACAUAUGGGAGAUGUAGUGAACAACGAAGCUCCUAUUCAAAAGGUAUGUAUCGAUCUAUUAUAGGAAAUGGUGUUGAAGCUUCCAAAUGUGCCAAGCCUUACAUCAUUUAGAACUCUGUGCAGUGAAGAUGCAGAACAUGAUUUCUUUAAAAAUAUUAUGCACUUGCAGGUUAGUUCUUUGAGCCAUUUCGCAUGAAUUGUUAGUAUAUUG
Rhododendron vialii is the source of this 1102-nucleotide long non-coding RNA. RefSeq lists it as uncharacterized. Lineage: Eukaryota; Viridiplantae; Streptophyta; Magnoliopsida; Ericales; Ericaceae. The record is from RefSeq and is a predicted model, not a curated record. The transcript has 4 exons.